CAAUAGCGUAUAUUAAAGUUGUUGCGGUAAAAAAGCUCGUAGUUGGAUUUCUACCGAAGAUAGCCGGUCGGGUCUUCGACCUUGUAUCUGGUUUUGUCUUUGGUAUCCUCAUAGGGAACGUUUCUGCGCUUUAUUGCGUGGUGCGGUAUCUAUGACUUUUACUUUGAGGAAAUUAGAGUGUUCACGGCAGGCAAACGCCUUGAAUAUAUUAGCAUGGAAUAAUAACAUAGGAUCUUCGUCCUAUUUUGUUGGUUUCUAGGUCUAAGAUAAUGAUUAAUAGGGAUAAUUGGGGGCAUCUGUAUCAACGCGUCAGAGGUGGAAUUCUUGGAUUGCGUUGCGACAAACUACUGCGAAAGCAUUUGCCAAGGAUGUUUUCAUUGA
This 381-nucleotide ribosomal RNA is filed under the name uncultured eukaryote. Its description in RNAcentral is "partial 18S ribosomal RNA". It matches the Rfam family "Eukaryotic small subunit ribosomal RNA", at positions 592 to 976 of the family's 1831-position model. The record is from RNAcentral.